GAUGAACGCUGGCGGCGUGCCUAAUACAUGCAAGUCGAGCGAACGGACGAGAAGCUUGCUUCUCUGAUGUUAGCGGCGGACGGGUGAGUAACACGUGGAUAACCUACCUAUAAGACUGGGAUAACUUCGGGAAACCGUAGCUAAUACCGGAUAAUAUUUUGAACCGCAUGGUUCAAAAGUGAAAGACGGUCUUGCUGUCACUUAUAGAUGGAUCCGCGCUGCAUUAGCUAGUUGGUAAGGUAACGGCUUACCAAGGCAACGAUGCAUAGCCGACCUGAGAGGGUGAUCGGCCACACUGGAACUGAGACACGGCCCAGACUCCUAAGGGAGGCAGCAGUAGGGAAUCUGCCGCAAUGGGCGAAAGCCUGACGGAGCAACGCCGCGUGAGUGAUGAAGGUCUUCGGAUCGUAAAACUCUGUUAUUAGUGAAGAACAUAUGUGUAAGUAACUGUGCACAUCUUGACGGUACCGAAUCAGAAAGCCACGGCUAACUACGU
This 496-nucleotide ribosomal RNA is filed under the name uncultured bacterium. RNAcentral's name for it is "partial 16S ribosomal RNA". It matches the Rfam family "Bacterial small subunit ribosomal RNA", at positions 28 to 506 of the family's 1533-position model. The record is from RNAcentral.